CACGGGAGCAUCCUGGUGGCGAGUGGCGAACGNNNNNNUAAUGUAUCGGAACGUACCUUUCAGUGGGGGAUAACGUAGCGAAAGUUACGCUAAUACCGCAUAUUCUGUGCGCAGGAAAGCAGGGGAUCGCAAGACCUUGCGCUGAUUGAGCGGCCGAUAUCAGAUUAGCUAGUUGGUGAGGUAAAGGCUCACCAAGGCGACGAUCUGUAGCGGGUCUGAGAGGAUGAUCCGCCACACUGGAACUGAGACACGGUCCAGACUCCUACGGGAGGCAGCAGUGGGGAAUUUUGGACAAUGGGGGCAACCCUGAUCCAGCCAUGCCGCGUGAGUGAAGAAGGCCUUCGGGUUGUAAAGCUCUUUCGGCCGGGAAGAAAUCGCAUGGGUUAAUACCCUGUGCGGAUGACGGUACCGGCAUAAGAAGCACCGGCUAACUACGUGCCAGCAGCCGCGGUAAUACGUAGGGUGCGAGCGUUAAUCGGAAUUACUGGGCGUAAAGCGUGCGCAGGCGGUUUUGUAAGACAGGCGUGAAAUCCCCGGGCUCAACCUGGGAACUGCGCUUGUGACUGCAAGGCUAGAGUAUGGCAGAGGGGGGUGGAAUUCCACGUGUAGCAGUGAAAUGCGUAGAGAUGUGGAGGAACACCAAUGGCGAAGGCAGCCCCCUGGGCCAAUACUGACGCUCAUGCACGAAAGCGUGGGUAGCAAACAGGAUUAGAUACCCUGGUAGUCCACGCCCUAAACGAUGUCAACUAGNNNUUGGGUGGGUAAAACCAUUUAGUACCGGAGCU
Molecule: ribosomal RNA, 785 nt
Filed under: uncultured bacterium
Lineage: Bacteria
Description: bacterial SSU rRNA
Rfam family: Bacterial small subunit ribosomal RNA
Source: RNAcentral